This 65-nucleotide transfer RNA is filed under the name Eunoe nodosa. Its description in RNAcentral is "tRNA-Ala". The record is from RNAcentral. Lineage: Eukaryota; Metazoa; Annelida; Polychaeta; Phyllodocida; Polynoidae.
GUUGUGUUAGUUUAAAUAGAACAUUUGCUUUGCAUGUAAAGAGUGGAAAUCUUUUUCACCCAACA